This 230-nucleotide ribosomal RNA is filed under the name uncultured bacterium. RNAcentral describes it as "partial 16S ribosomal RNA". It matches the Rfam family "Bacterial small subunit ribosomal RNA", at positions 563 to 791 of the family's 1533-position model. The record is from RNAcentral.
AAGCGUGCGCAGGCGGUAAUGUAAGACAGAUGUGAAAUCCCCGGGCCUCAACCUGGGAACUGCAUUUGUGACUGCAUUGCUGGAGUGCGGCAGAGGGGGAUGGAAUUCCGCGUGUAGCAGUGAAAUGCGUAGAUAUGCGGAGGAACACCGAUGGCGAAGGCAAUCCCCUGGGCCUGCACUGACGCUCAUGCACGAAAGCGUGGGGAGCAAACAGGAUUAGAUACCCGAGU